CUACCGACUAUUAGACACACUUUCUCUAUAUCUUUUCUUCUUGCACAAUAAGUUGAAUGCUCAAUCGUACACCAAAUAGCCUAUGAACUAGGAAAUAACCAAUUCUUUAAUGACUACAAUCCAGGUUGGGGGGUUCAACCAAAUUUUUCGUGAAAAUCACAACCAGUGGUUACCCCAACAACACAACGAUCUACGUUUGUAGAAGCACCCUAUUAUGAAAUGUCCUAUUCACAAUAUCAACCUUCUCCAACUAUCUAUAGCCCAUCAUUUAAAGAGAAGAUUUUGUAAGCACU
Molecule: long non-coding RNA, 293 nt
Filed under: Elaeis guineensis (African oil palm)
Lineage: Eukaryota; Viridiplantae; Streptophyta; Magnoliopsida; Arecales; Arecaceae
Description: long non-coding RNA (EGUI_LNC036677)
Source: RNAcentral